Molecule: ribosomal RNA, 253 nt
Filed under: uncultured bacterium
Lineage: Bacteria
Description: partial 16S ribosomal RNA
Rfam family: Bacterial small subunit ribosomal RNA
Source: RNAcentral
UACAGAGGUCCCAAGCGUUGUUCGGAUUUACUGGGCGUAAAGGGUGCGUAGGCGGCUACUAAAGUUUGAUGUGAAAUCUUGGAGCUCAACUCCGAAACUGCAUUGAAUACUGAGUAGCUUGAGGAGUGGAGGGGAGACUGGAAUUCUCGGUGUAGCAGUGAAAUGCGUAGAUAUCGAGAGGAACACCAGUGGCGAAGGCGAGUCUCUGGACAUUUCCUGACGCUGAGGCACGAAAGCCAAGGGAGCAAACGGG